GGUCUAAUUGGAGCUGUAGCCACCAGCCUACACCACAGCCACAGCAACACCUGAUCCGAGCUGCAUCUGCGACCCAUAUCACAGCUCAUGGCAAUGCUGGAUCCUUGACCCACUGAGCGAGGCCGCAACGUCAUGGUUCCUAGUCAGAUUCGUUUCCACUGAGCCAUGAUGGGAACUCCUCAUUUAUUAAAUGAACACAAAAGUAUUAGUAAUUUCCCAUAUUGCUUGUUACUUAUGAACUAAUUAUUUCUGGUCUCUGCCUUAUAAGUACAUUAGGAAUUCUAAAUAGUGUACCCUAUGCUGUUGGAUAAAAUUUGGAAAAAACUUAAAGCAUGGAUUAUUAUCAAAUAGAAUAAAGUAUGUUCUGUAGACAUCAUGUUAAUCUGCCUAUAUUGUUAUUGGAGUGAUUAGAGAAUAAUUGCAAAUGAAUGAAUUAAAACACAAGAGAAGUAGGGAGCUGAAUCAGCAAACCAGACUCAGCAAGGAAAUAUUUUGGCUUCUGUGACUGUGGGUCAAAGGAAGGAGGGAUUCUGAAUUAACUGAUUUAGUGGCUUAACCAUGCCAUCUAGGGCCCAGCUUCUUUCUUUCUGCUUGUAUGUCCAAACCAUCAACUUUAUCCUAAGGGUGCAUUUGUUUAUGGUUUUAGGAUGAUACUCAGAAGCAGUUAGGUCCCAGUACUGCUAAUUCCUAUCUACAGACAUUAUAGGAAAUUCCUCUAGAAGCAGGAGGAAGACUCUGUCACACCUGUCUUAUUGGCCUGCAGCUGUGUCACACGCCCAUUCCCAUACCACCCCCCAGCAAGGGGCAUGGAAUGUCUCUGAUUGGGCUACAUUGUUGGUUCUCAGCCCUCAAGGCUCAGUAUCACAAGGGAAGCUUUUUCAAAAUACUAAUACUUGGGCCCUUCUCAGGCCAAAAAAGUCAGAAUCUCUGUGUGUGGGGCCUGGAUAUCAGGAUUUUUUAAGUGCUCUCAGGAGGUUUUAAUGGCAAGACGGUUUGAAAAGCAUGGGCCUAUACUUAUUAGAAUUUAUCCAUUGAGCUGGAGAUUGGACAACUUCUGCUGGCUCAAAAGUCCUGAGUGUAAAAGGGUCAUGGAUUCGAACUAAAAUUAGGGCUUUGUUAAGAAACUGGAAAUGGGAAAUGGAUGCUUGGUAGGCAUUAAAUAUUAUUCACUCUAAAAGAGGUCUGCUAGUUACACUGUUUUUAAAUUUUAUGGGCACAUGUUUACUUAAUUCUCAUAACACCCUGAUGAGCAAGCUAUGAUAUUCACCAGUGUGUAAUUUUAUUAUAGCAUCUUGUUUGCUGCCAGUAUCUGUUCUGUUUGGUUAAUGUUCGAACUGUACAAGUUGAUAAAUAUUUUUAAUAUUACCUAUGCCAUUGAGUAAGAUGGCCUCAUAGUUUGUUGUCCAAAUUGAAACACUUUUAAGAGUGAAAUAGUUUUCCAUUUUUAAGGAUAUGACUCCAGGACAUUAGGAAUAAACUGGGACCAUCCUGGGGAAACCAAUAUACAUAAUCACUCUGUCUACCAGGUAUUACGUAUAGUACAGAAUUUGACUGUUUAAAGACAGGUCUGGCCUUUGUCUUGACUUCUAGAAUGUAAUCUGUGUGAUAGCUGAUGGGAAUGUCUUUGCUUAGUCCAGAUUUUGGCCAUACUGGAUCUUAGGAUGGAGAUGACCACACCUGAGAGUUGUAGGGUGGGGCUGGCCACAUCAGAAAGACAAACUAUGCAUUUAGGGUGGAGACUUUGGGUAACUGGGUAUCAGUUGACCUAGAGACAGAGUUCAACCAUGUGGUCAGUCAAUGAGGGUAGUUUUGGAAGCCUCCUAAACUUUUAGUUGGUGUCAGAAGGGAGGGCUGUGGUAGGGACUUUCCCUUCAAACUUCACAGUUUGGCUAAUUCUGGGUAUAUUAUCAGGCCUUUUUAGGAUGCUAAGUAACAUACCCAGUGUCUCAAAACUAAUGAAAUAUGGAGCUGAUUUUCACUCUCCAAAAAUGACUACUUCUAUGAUAUUCUAGUGUUGCUUUUAUACUUUUUUCUGCUUAUAAUUUCUUAUGUUAAGUUCUUUUUGUUAAAAUGAUUUUUUUUUUCUGUUUUGCUAACUGGAACUAGAAUGAUGCAACAGUGUUGGUAUUCAAAUAUUUUCUUUUUAUUAAAAAAUACCUCAAAUUUAUAGGAGACUCUCAACUACAAUACAAUACAAUACAAUACAAUACAUACAACACAAUACAAAAAUGUCUAGACUCCUGGAAUAAGAAAGUGGCGAAAGUUGCACUGAAACAGCUCUUAGAGCUUAUGGAUCAAUGUUUGACUUAGUCGAGUGCAUGGUCUUUCCUGGGGCCUAUCAGAGGCUUAAAGGAAUCAACUGCUCCAAGUCCUGGUUCCGCAAAGCAUCUCUCCUUUCCUGGACAUUUUGUAACACUCAGGCUGAGACCAAUAAGACUCAAGGCUCCAGGAGUGUGAAAAGAAAGCAGCCCAGACACAGUUUCCUUACCUUUCCUCUCUCAUUCUGGUUUCUGAGACCACCAGUUUGAUUCAGUAGAGGGACACACUUUAUCUUUUCCGGUUUGGGUCAUGCACAUUUUCCCUUUAGUUUUACUGUUCCUUGGAUAAGGGACAGUCAGUCACAGAUUGAUAUACCGAUGCAAUAAUUUCCCAAUCAUUUUGAGGAAUUGCUCAUGACCUAGUUUUAACUUUAAUGCCUCUUAUAUGUGCAUUGUACCAAGGUAAAAUUGGGAGAGUAACAUCCAGUAUUUGGUUCAUUAAUAUUCAUGCCAUAGAUCUAAUUGUGAAUGUGAAACUGCAAAGAGAAAAUACCUUACUUCUGAUUAAAUACCCUGGACAUGAUACAGCUAGCAGGUGGGAAUCAUAUACUUUUUCUAGUUUAUAAAAAUAUAACUGUAAAAGAUUAAUGCAGUCAAAUGGUAACUUGGGAUUGCCUAGUUUGAAUAAUUUCAGUGGACUCUGGGACAUAGGGGCCAUCCCUCAUUGCCUGGGACUUGCCCUUAGAGUGAUUUCAGCAGGUAUAUAGUGGCCCAGGCUGUGAGAGUCAGACAAGAAAGUAGACUGUGGAUUGAUUGGUUUGUAUUUGAAAAGCAUACCCCCCUCUUCCCCCACCCACCCCAGGAAAGACUCAUUCUAAGGGAGAUAGGGAAGGAGACAGGAGGCUAGGGCAGGGUGGUUUAGGCAUAUUAUUGGGUUGUCCAGAAAAAGUUAUAUCCAACUCAUGAAUCUGAACCUACAAAAGAUGUUAAUGCAUCAAGUUUACAGAGGCCAGAAGUAUGGUUAAUUCAGCCCUAUAAUACAUAGCCUACUUAUUCUUGUUGUAGUAGUCGACACCUAGUUAUAGACAUUCUGUCUACCCAAGGCUGAAUCACAGGCAUCCCCACUCCAAACUUCCAGGCUUGCACAUGCAGGACCAGCUAGAACAGGAUAGUAGAAAAUGCUUGGCUUUGGAAGCAAGAGCACUUGUAAUUAAAUACAGGCCCUUUUGCUUAUUAACAGAGUACAUCUAGGAAGUUAUUUAAUUUUCUUAAGGAUUGAUUUAAAAAAAAAAAAAAACAAAAACCUCUGCAAGUUAGCAAAUAGAAUCUACCUCAGCAUUUGGGUGAAGAUUUACUAUAAUGAAUAUAAUGUGUCUAGCACUUUAAUUUGUAUUUUUGUUAUUAUUAGGAUACAGAUAUUUGAGAGUCCUGAAAUGACAUCAAGGUUCAUGGGAACUUUAUAGUCAGAAAAACUGAAAGUAUCUGGAGCUAGUACUAGAAUUACUCUAGUAAAAUUGUAAGACUUACUUUAAUUCAUCUAUUGAAGCUAGAAUAUGUGUUUGAGUACUGCUUUCAUUAACCGUGUAUAGUGGUCUGUUAUCUAAUCUCUUGCAUAUUUGUCUUUUCUUUUUGUUUCCUUUAGACUUGAUAAGACACUUGUAUUGGAGUUCCCAUUGUGUCUCAGCGGGUUAAGAACCCGAUACAUUGUCCAUAAAGAUGCGGGUUCGAUCCUUGGCCUCGCUCACUGGGUUCAGGAUAUGUCAUUGCUGCAAACUGUGGCCUAGGUCACAGAUGUGGCUUGGCUUUGGCAUUGCUGAAGCUCCAAUUCAACUCCUAGCCUAGAAACUUCCAUAUGCCAUAGGUGUGGCCCUGAAAAGAAAAACAAACAAACAAACUUGAGUUGAAGUCACCAUCUCUCAAAAUUGAAUAUUCUUUGCUUUGCUAUCUUUUUUCUUUAGUAUUACAGAGAAAGCAAAUGCCUGAUUUUUGCUUAUUUCUACAUGUAUGUGUGUUUAUGUGUGGUAACUGUUCCCAUGUAUCCGUGUGCACACAGGCUGAAUGAGGAAUAUGUUAAGUGGAAAAAAAUGUUGAUGUAUGUCUAGGCAUGGUAUCUUAUUAAAUUUUCUCUUUUUUGGCAAAACAUUUCAAUCUUCAAAAGCAGUGCUUUUAGGUAAAAUAGUUGUCUUCCAUUAUUCCAUUAAUGGUUCAAUUCCUUUAAGCCUCAAUGCCGUCUCCAUAUUUUAGUCUUCUUAGAUGCUCUUUUCAACUUAAGUGACUCCCCUUUCUUCCCUGUCUUCCAUAUCUCUUAUAUUUCUCUAACCAUUUAAAUCUCUUUUUAUGCUUUCCCUGAAUCUAGAGUUUGCCUACUACUCUAAAAUUUGAAUUUCCGAAAAAAGUAACUUGUCGUUGCUUUUGUUGUUUGUGGUUUUUACCUCCGUGUCUGAUAUAGUUUCUUAGAAACAGGUCCUUUUGACUCCUAUUGUAAACACAUAUAGAAAUUCUAAAGCACUUUCUUGUUACUCGAAAUAAAUUUAUUAUUUUAUGGGAAGACAUUGCUCUGAAUUCUCAUGGUGAUCCCUUACUUUUGAACUACUUUUUUAUAUGCUUUAUACUGUUUUUGGUUAGCAGUUCCCUCAUGCCAAGGAAUGCUUUAGCUUGUGAAGGAUUGAAAGUUGAGAAGUAUUCUGUCAGACAUAAGCAUGAAGCAUAGCUUGAAAUUUUUGUGCCUAGAUGAAGGGUAAAGGACAGUACCAGGUGUCAUUUUUGCCAGUUUAGGACCCUUCAGCCUGUGGGGAAUGGGGAUAGAGCAGAAUCCAGAGCCAGAGUUGCAGAAGAAAGUCAGAGCCAGUUAUACUUGGGAACUGCACCCAGAAUUUCUUUUAUGUUUGUAUUCAUUCAGGGUUUUUCUGGGGGAGGGUCCCUACUAUUGUCUGGUAAAGCUGCACUCUUUAAGAUCUGAUGGAAUCCUUACCUCUACUCUUCACCAAGUGUGGCCCUCAGGACCAAUUCUGACUAGGAGGAGUGUCACCGUAGGGUUCAGAUAGGGCAUGGGCACCUCUGGUAUGAGAAGUGCUUUUGGUGACACUGGUGGGAUGGAAGAUUUCUCCUUCCUGCUCUCCCCACUUCCCCAACUCUUUAUCCCUUAUUAUCCUACCUCCUCCUACAUUUCCAGCCCUCACAGCUACUUCUCAGAGUUAGGCUGCAAGUUAGCAUCUUGUUAUAUAAGAUGGGAAAGAAUACAACUCUGCUGAGAGGAGCAUCUGGGCCCAGAGUUCAGAUACAUGGGGAAUUUGCUUGGUUGUUGGUUGGUUUUGCUUUAAGGGUUUUUUUCCUGUGACUACCCUCAGACAUUCAAUAUUAGAAUCUUGUGUUUGGGGGAGGGGAAUUAGAAGGGUAAGUAAGAAUCUGUAUUUUUAAAAAGCUUCCCAAGUGAUUGGAAUGAGGCUGAUCCUUGGAUCUGUGACAAUUAUUUGCAAAUCAUGAGUCCGAGAAAAAGGCCUGAAAAAAAUGUGCCAGUGUGUCUUUCUAAAAUUUUCUGAGCACCUACGUUAUGCAAAUUGCUCUGCUCUGUGUGGCUGCGUUGGAGAAAAAGAAGUACAAGGGGAGGGAUGUACUACUAAUUAGGCAGGAAUAAUUCACAUUUACCCAGUGCUUACCACACCCCAGGCACUUCACUUAGCACUUUAUGCACAUUAGCUGGGAUGAUCCUCACAGUCACCCUAUGAUUUGGAAACUAUUAUUUUCCUUCUACCAAUAGGGAAACAGAGGCUUAAAAAAGUCAAGGAGCUUCUCACUGUCAUAUAGGUAGCAAGUGGCAGGUCUAGAACCUGAACAUGUGUCUCCAGGCUGCGUUUUAAAUAGGCUCUAUUGGAGUUCCCAUCGUGGCUCAUCAGUAAUGAACCCAACUAGGAUCCAUGAGGACUCGGGUUCAAUCCUUGGCCUUGCUCAGGAGGUUAAGGAUCCAGCUUUGCUGUGAGCUGUGGUGUAGGUCGCAGACGCAACUCGGAUCUGGCGUUGCCGUGCCUGUGGCUUAGACUGGAAGCUGUAUCUCCGAAUGACCCCCAGCCUGGGAACUUCCAUAU
Molecule: long non-coding RNA, 6340 nt
Filed under: Sus scrofa (pig)
Lineage: Eukaryota; Metazoa; Chordata; Mammalia; Artiodactyla; Suidae
Description: lncRNA (ENSSSCG00000055465.1)
Source: RNAcentral